AAUUCAAAUUUUCAGAUCACUUUCUCUCUCAUGCGGGCCCCAAUUCCCCAAUCAGAACCUAUUCACUCCACUCUCCCUCUCUCACGCGUCUCACCCUUUCUCUCUCACUUUAGAGCAUCAGCAACAAAGAAACUUUGUGAGUUUCUUUGAAACUUUGUGAGUUUCUUUGAAACUUUGUGAGUUUCUUUGUGACAUGUCAUCUGAAGUAAAGUUUCUUAACUGUUGCAGAAAAUGAAGUUUCUCCACGUGGCAAGCAACUUUGUUCCAAAGUUUCUUUUUAGAGAAUCUUCUAAAUUUAAUGAUUAAAAAAUAAAAAAAAAACAAAUAAAAAAAUAAAUAAAUAGGUAACUGGUUUACAAGAAAGUAGUGGAAGGUAUAUUGUGGGGUCCAUUUAAGAAAUUUUUUAGAAUUUCUGGGUUGGAGUAAAAUGACGUGGCAUUACCAAAAUUUAAAUUAGAAACUCUAAUGAGUUUCUUGGAUAAUGAUGGUCUUAAUUACUCAAAAAUUUCCUCCUUACCCCAAUUAUUCUCCCCAUGGGCCCCACUCCUACUAAUCAGAUAUUAUUUUUUUUCUUUGUCUCCCUUCAUUCACUCCCUCCCAACAGCUCACUCUCUCUCUCUCUCUCUCUCUCUCUCUCUCUCACCCUUCUCAUUCACGUUCUUUUCUCUUCUCCCACAGCACCUUCUUCUUCAGUUUAUUUCUCCUACAAACAACAUCACCACCAUAGUGCCUUCCUGCAACUCAACACCACCACCACGUGCCAAAAUCGCGAGCACCACGACCUCCAUGACUCCUUCACGCAGCAACCACCACUGUCCCUGUUCUGUUUUUUCUCUCAAUGAGAGUCACCACCAAAACCCUAGCCGCCGCCCUUUCCCUCUGAUCUCCGGCGAACCAUUAAGUUUUUGGAGAAACCAACACCACCACUGAACUCCCCUCAUCAACCGCAACAAAACCCUCCAACGAUUCGAUGAUCGGCCACCGCGACCGCCGCCGCGCCGUCCUCUCCGGCGAGCUUUGUUCUGAGAAAGGAGGCCAAUUUCUUGAAGCUUUCGACCUCCUCUUUCCAAAUCCAACGUCAGAUCAUCAGUAAGAGGGCUUGCUGGUCAUCAGAGGAAGAGAAGGCCAUGACCAGAGGAAGAAUUGAAGCUCAGUCCCAUGACCAUGAGACUUGAGGUAGAAGGAGAAAGACAUGAACUUUGUGCUUAUGCGUCUGUUGUGUGUGUGUGUGAGUAUUGGUGUCUUGGUUGUCCAUUACAAGGGCAUGAGCCUACAUAAAAUUGUAGAUUUUGAAAUGUAGCCCCUUUGUGAUGUACUGUAGAAUUUUAUUGGAAAUUUCUAAACCUGUUUCAUUUUAUUGGAA
Molecule: long non-coding RNA, 1363 nt
Organism: Lotus japonicus
Lineage: Eukaryota; Viridiplantae; Streptophyta; Magnoliopsida; Fabales; Fabaceae
Exons: 2
Source: RefSeq, a predicted model, not a curated record